RNAcentral lists this ribosomal RNA (1340 nucleotides) under metagenome. Its description in RNAcentral is "bacterial SSU rRNA". It matches the Rfam family "Bacterial small subunit ribosomal RNA", at positions 107 to 1442 of the family's 1533-position model. The record is from RNAcentral.
UGAGAAAUGUAUCGGAACGUACCUUUCAGUGGGGGAUAACGUAGCGAAAGUUACGCUAAUACCGCAUAUUCUGUGAGCAGGAAAGCAGGGGAUCGCAAGACCUUGCGCUGAUUGAGCGGCCGAUAUCAGAUUAGCUAGUUGGUGAGGUAAAGGCUCACCAAGGCGACGAUCUGUAGCGGGUCCGAGAGGAUGAUCCGCCACACUGGAACUGAGACACGGUCCAGACUCCUACGGGAGGCAGCAGUGGGGAAUUUUGGACAAUGGGGGCAACCCUGAUCCAGCCAUGCCGCGUGAGUGAAGAAGGCCUUCGGGUUGUAAAGCUCUUUCGGCCGGGAAGAAAUCGCAUGGGUUAAUACCCUGUGCGGAUGACGGUACCGGCAUAAGAAGCACCGGCUAACUACGUGCCAGCAGCCGCGGUAAUACGUAGGGUGCGAGCGUUAAUCGGAAUUACUGGGCGUAAAGCGUGCGCAGGCGGUUUUUUAAGACAGGCGUGAAAUCCCCGGGCUCAACCUGGGAACUGCGCUUGUGACUGGAAGGCUAGAGUAUGGCAGAGGGGGGUGGAAUUCCACGUGUAGCAGUGAAAUGCGUAGAGAUGUGGAGGAACACCAAUGGCGAAGGCAGCCCCCUGGGCCAAUACUGACGCUCAUGCACGAAAGCGUGGGUAGCAAACAGGAUUAGAUACCCUGGUAGUCCACGCCCUAAACGAUGUCAACUAGGUGUUGGGUGGGUAAAACCAUUUAGUACCGGAGCUAACGCGUGGAGUUGACCGCCUGGGGAGUACGGCCGCAAGGUUAAAACUCAAAGGAAUUGACGGGGACCCGCACAAGCGGUGGAUGAUGUGGAUUAAUUCGAUGCAACGCGAAAAACCUUACCUACCCUUGACAUGUCCAGGAGCCUGAAGAGAUUUGGGUGUGCCCGAAAGGGAACUGGAACACAGGUGCUGCAUGGCUGUCGUCAGCUCGUGUCGUGAGAUGUUGGGUUAAGUCCCGCAACGAGCGCAACCCUUGUCGUUAAUUGCCAUCAUUUAGUUGGGCACUUUAACGAGACUGCCGGUGACAAACCGGAGGAAGGUGGGGAUGACGUCAAGUCCUCAUGGCCCUUAUGGGUAGGGCUUCACACGUCAUACAAUGGUCGGUACAAAGGGUUGCCAAGCCGCGAGGUGGAGCCAAUCCCAGAAAGCCGAUCGUAGUCCGGAUCGCAGGCUGCAACUCGCCUGCGUGAAGUCGGAAUCGCUAGUAAUCGUGGAUCAGCAUGUCACGGUGAAUACGUUCCCGGGUCUUGUACACACCGCCCGUCACACCAUGGGAGCGGGUUCCGCCAGAAGUAGGUAGCCUAACCGC